GGUGCGAUAUUUUCCGACAAUGGGCGAAAGCCUGAUCCAGCCACUGCCGCGUGCGGGAUGAAGGCCUUCGGGUUGUAAACUGCUUUUGUACGGAACGAAAGGCCUCUUUCUAAUAAAGAGGGGUCUUGACGGUACCGUAAGAAUAAGCACCGGCUAACUACGUGCCAGCAGCCGCGGUAAAUAAAAAAAA
This 190-nucleotide ribosomal RNA is filed under the name uncultured Diaphorobacter sp. Its description in RNAcentral is "partial 16S ribosomal RNA". It matches the Rfam family "Bacterial small subunit ribosomal RNA", at positions 353 to 532 of the family's 1533-position model. Lineage: Bacteria; Pseudomonadati; Pseudomonadota; Betaproteobacteria; Burkholderiales; Comamonadaceae. The record is from RNAcentral.